AAUAGAUACCCGGGUAGUCCACGCUGUAAACGGUGGGUACUAGGUGUGGGGUCCACUCCACGGGUUCCGCGCCGUAGCUAACGCUUUAAGUACCCCGCCUGGGGAGUACGGCCGCAAGGCUAAAACUCAAAGGAAUUGACGGGGCCCCGCACAAGCGGCGGAGCAUGCGGAUUAAUUCGAUGCAACGCGUAGAACCUUACCUGGGUUUGACAUGGAUCGGGAGUGCUCAGAGAUGGGUGUGCCUCUUUUGGGGUCGGUUCACAGGUGGUGCAUGGCUGUCGUCAGCUCGUGUCGUGAGAUGUUGGGUUAAGUCCCGCAACGAGCGCAACCCUUGUUCACUGUUGCCAGCACGUUAUGGUGGGGACUCAGUGGAGACCGCCGGGGUCAACUCGGAGGAAGGUGGGGAUGACGUCAAGUCAUCAUGCCCCUUAUGUCCAGGGCUUCACGCAUGCUACAAUGGCUGGUACAGAGAGUGGCGAGCCUGUGAGGGUGAGCGAAUCUCGGAAAGCCGGUCUCAGUUCGGAUUGGGGUCUGC
This 535-nucleotide ribosomal RNA is filed under the name uncultured bacterium. RNAcentral describes it as "bacterial SSU rRNA". It matches the Rfam family "Bacterial small subunit ribosomal RNA", at positions 777 to 1308 of the family's 1533-position model. The record is from RNAcentral.